UGGGUCUUCCCAAUAUGAUCAUUAUUGCUAUUUGAUGAUUAGGUUCUAGACCUAAUCCACCGGAUAAACAUGAAUGAUCAUAGAGAAAAUAUUGUAUUAAUUAAUUUAAAAGCUUUUCAAAAAGCCGGAAACAGUAAAACAGCCAUUGGCAAACCCCAUGAGAAGAUAUCUGUGCACUUCCAAUGACCAUAUGUUCUGUCUAGUAUAUUUGGUAGCAGGUGCGUGCAUCCUUACAGUAAUAUAGAGAGUCUUCCACAUACUGGGUUUUGCACACGUGUUAGGAUUAUAAUAGGUCCACGGUUUGGUUCUUUUUAAUCUAUAAUAAAAAUAGAUUUGCCCAAGCUUCCAAGCAUUUCACUGCUUUCAAGCUGUUUUAAAAACUAAUAAGCAGUUUAUAAGUUUUUGAGGUUAAUGGUUGUCUAACAUGAUAAUCAGAGCACUAGUUCUCAAAUAAUUUAAACUUAGGUUGUUAUCUGAACUUUAAUUCGGAUAAACCAAACAUCAAUCAACAACAGAAGCAAAUAUCAGCAAAAAAAAAAAAAACAUCAAUCAAAGAUGUUGCGUUAGGGCAACGUAAUGCGAUCCCCACACGUUUAUAAUUUGCUCCACCAUGCCAAGCACUUUCAAUGUGGCCAGUUGAAUAUGUCAAUGUCAUUCAGGAUCCAAUAUUGCAGCAAUGCCAUAACACUACAAAUUCCACUGGUUUAGAGCACACGUAUUCCAGUGAAUGACAGAAACCGAAUUCUCUUCACUGAGUUCUCCAAUAAUGACCCAAAAAACCAAAAUGAUCCUCCCAACUUUUCCAUUUAUAGCAUUAUGAAAUCAGCAGAGCGCCAAUACAAAUGCAAAACACAAUCAAAAUGGUUGUUCCAAUUGCUGAAUUUGGGGCUUUUUUUUUUUUUUUUUUUGGGGUCAAUUGAGUACAUCGAGAAGAGGCGGUGAGUGGAAGGGUUUAUUCUUGGAAUAUACCAUUCCAUUUUGAUCUUCCAUAGAACACUUCUUUCAAGGUUUUAAUCAUACUUUGGGUGGAUCGACUGGUUUUAAUUUAUGUGUUCUUUAUAGUACAUCAGCUGGUCCACCACCACCCAACUUCCCCGUGUCAAUUUGGUGGAUCUUGAAGCGUUCAAUAUGAGCUUGUGCAUUUCCUACCAUAAAACAUCAUAGUGGUGAAGGCACUACAGCCCUAGAAUCCGAUUCAAAACCUAUGCUCCUAUAUUUGUAACCAAAACUUUGUUAUAUGUAGACCAGUUUAUUGCGUGAAAUCAAUUGAGUAACACACUACAUGGAUUGGUGGAGGAUGGAAGUACUUACAACAAAAGGAAGAAAACACAAACAUAUAGGUUGAUUUUCUGGUUGUUGGAUAUUCUUGUUAUGCUCGUGGACUUUGAAAAGUGAUCAUUAUAAUGGAAACCCUAGUUGUUAGGGACAUUAGGGGUGAUAAAUUCUUAUCACCCGGGUAAACUCGGCAUCUUUUGGUUAACUGAUUCAGUUACUGAUCAAUCUGGCUCUAGGUUCCCUAGGUCCAACGCAGAAGGCCUCUCAUUUAGUCCAGAUCUUUGCGGCAUCUCCAAGAGGCCUCGUUUAUUGACUUGGUUUGGACUUGAAUUGGAGUUGGUCCAAGCCAGACUCUCACCCCUCUAGAUGGGACUUGCAUGAUAUAAUAUGGUGAAUUUUUAUCUAAUUUAAUAAGUCCAGUCUCAAUAUUUAUAAGCUUGCCAAAUAGCGGUAAGGACACUUGUCCAAUUUAAUUGAAAUAGUCCAAUUCAAUCUGAGCCACGAAACAUGGCCUAGGAUCACAGUACGUAGGGACAUAGGUAUUUGAGGAUUGGUUAUAAUGUAAGAUCUAAUAUUUGUGCAAAGCAGCAGCAGCUUUCUUUUUAUUAGAGGUGCAUAGCACAGCUGCUUUCUCUUUACUCAUAUAUUGUGCUAAGUUUCUCAUAAUGAUUGCAAUAGCACUUUAGUUGUCUCUGUGCUCCCUUUCCUUACCUUUUUAAGGAUUAAUAUUAGUUAAAUUCUG
Molecule: long non-coding RNA, 2017 nt
Filed under: Prunus persica (peach)
Lineage: Eukaryota; Viridiplantae; Streptophyta; Magnoliopsida; Rosales; Rosaceae
Description: long non-coding RNA (PPER_LNC002980)
Source: RNAcentral